RNAcentral lists this long non-coding RNA (253 nucleotides) under Lathyrus oleraceus (garden pea). RNAcentral's name for it is "Pisum sativum (pea) long non-coding RNA (PSAT_LNC009797)". The record is from RNAcentral. Lineage: Eukaryota; Viridiplantae; Streptophyta; Magnoliopsida; Fabales; Fabaceae.
ACAAAAAUACGCGAAAAAAUAAAAUAAAUGCACAAUGCCUAUCUCACAGAAUGUGUCAAACAUAUAAAGCACUCAUCAUAGUAUCAGAGGAACUAAAUGACAGAUAACAUAGAAAAGACAGUAAGAUAAAGAGAAAAAUAUGGAAGAAAGCAAACAAGCAAUACUAACAUUCAUUGAAAAUUAACUAAAUUAAGUUUGACUCUCUCUUAUAGGAGUGUUAUUCCCAGCAGAGUCGUCGACCGUCACAUCUCAA